RNAcentral lists this ribosomal RNA (675 nucleotides) under Jonesia denitrificans. RNAcentral's name for it is "bacterial SSU rRNA". It matches the Rfam family "Bacterial small subunit ribosomal RNA", at positions 370 to 1043 of the family's 1533-position model. The record is from RNAcentral. Lineage: Bacteria; Bacillati; Actinomycetota; Actinomycetes; Micrococcales; Jonesiaceae.
AAUGGGGGAAACCCUGAUGCAGCGACGCCGCGUGGGGGAUGAAGGCCUUCGGGUUGUAAACCCCUUUCAGUAAGGAACAAGGCCAUGAUUGUUGUUGUGGUUGAGGGUACUUGCAGAAGAAGCGCCGGCUAACUACGUGCCAGCAGCCGCGGUAAUACGUAGGGCGCAAGCGUUGUCCGGAAUUAUUGGGCGUAAAGAGCUCGUAGGCGGUUUGUCGCGUCUGUCGUGAAAUCCCGAUGCUUAACGUCGGGCUUGCGGUGGGUACGGGCAGGCUGGAGUGCGGUAGGGGUGACUGGAAUUCCUGGUGUAGCGGUGGAAUGCGCAGAUAUCAGGAGGAACACCGAUGGCGAAGGCAAGUCACUGGGCCGUUACUGACGCUGAGGAGCGAAAGCAUGGGGAGCGAACAGGAUUAGAUACCCUGGUAGUCCAUGCCGUAAACGUUGGGCACUAGGUGUGGGGAUUGUUCCACGAUUCCUGUACCGUAGCUAACGCAUUAAGUGCCCCGCCUGGGGAGUACGGCCGCAAGGCUAAAACUCAAAGGAAUUGACGGGGGCCCGCACAAGCGGCGGAGCAUGCGGAUUAAUUCGAUGCAACGCGAAGAACCUUACCAAGGCUUGACAUACGCUAGAUCUGCUCCAGAGAUGGGGUUUUCUUUGGACUGGUGUACAGGUGGUG